Molecule: ribosomal RNA, 459 nt
Filed under: uncultured bacterium
Lineage: Bacteria
Description: partial 16S ribosomal RNA
Rfam family: Bacterial small subunit ribosomal RNA
Source: RNAcentral
CCUACGGGUGGCAGCAGUGAGGAAUAUUGGUCAAUGGUCGGGAGACUGAACCAGCCAAGCCGCGUGAGGGAGGAAGGUACAGAGUAUCGUAAACCUCUUUUGUCAGGGAACAAAGGCGGGGACGUGUCCCCGGAUGAGUGUACCUGAAGAAAAAGCAUCGGCUAACUCCGUGCCAGCAGCCGCGGUAAUACGGAGGAUGCGAGCGUUAUCCGGAUUUAUUGGGUUUAAAGGGUGCGCAGGCGGUCUGUUAAGUCAGGGGUCAAAGCCCGGGGCUCAACCCCGGCCCGCCGUUGAAACUGGCAGUCUAGAGUUGGAGAGAGGGAUGCGGAAUGCGCGGUGUAGCGGGGAAAUGCAUAGAUAUCGCGCAGAACUCCGAUUGCGAAGGCAGCAUGCCGGCUCCACACUGACGCUGAGGCACGAAAGCGUGGGUAUCGAACAGGAUUAGAUACCCUAGUAGUC